AUGAAAGCCGUGACAGUGUUCCCCAAUAUCAAAUUCCUAACGGUGAAGGGCACGCCGCGCUUCGCGGACUUUGGCGCCUUCCCGCCCAACUGGGGCGCCGACGCGGUACCAUGGAUCAACGCCUCCAGAACUGGCUGGCGGAACCUUAAGGAGAUCACGCUCAAACGCAUGAGCGUCACUAAUCGCUGCCUGGAGCUCAUUGCCUUCGGGUUGGAGCACCUCGAGGUCCUGCGCCUAAUCCUCGGCGGCGGCUUCAGCUCCGCCGGGCUGGCCCAUAUCGCCGCCAAACGUGGCAGAUCGGCAAAAGAUGAUGUAAUAUCAAAUCGUACAGUCCCACUUUCGUCAUUUUUAUAUAAAAAACACCAGGCUGCUUGUAGUACCGCAGAAUCGGUUAGUAUCUUCAAUGCGCAUCAUUUUCACUGCAUAUUUGAGCACUCCACUCACCACGUGUUGGAACUUGGAAUAGUUAUUAUUCUUAUGCUCAAGUUCUCAUUUCUAUGUGCUCUUCACGUUGCAGACAUUUAA
RNAcentral lists this ribosomal RNA (525 nucleotides) under Triticum aestivum (bread wheat). RNAcentral describes it as "partial small subunit ribosomal RNA". The record is from RNAcentral. Lineage: Eukaryota; Viridiplantae; Streptophyta; Magnoliopsida; Poales; Poaceae.